CGGCCACGGUACCCUAACCGUGCGAAGGUAGCAUAAUCACUUCUUCUUUAAAUGGGGACUCGUAUCAACGGCAUCACGAGGGUUCUACUGUCUCCUUUCUCUAAUCAGUGAAACUAAUCUCCCCGUGAAGAAGCGAGGAUAACACUAUAAGACGAGAAGACCCCAUGGAGCUUUAAACCCAAUUAUAUUCCUAACCCCCACAACCAUUUAAUCUCUUAGGCCCCAUAUACUUGGUUUUAGGUUGGGGCGACCACGGAGUAAAACCAAACCUCCAUGAUGUACGGAACAACCUCCUUAUCCAAGAGCCACAGCUCUAAGAAUUAGCACACUAUCAAAAAAUGACCCAUUAUUGAUCAACGAACCAAGUUACCCUGGGGAUAACAGCGCAAUCCAUUUUAAGAGCCCCUAUCGACAAAUGGGUUUACGACCUCGAUGUUGGAUCAGGAUAUCCCAGUGGUGCAGCAACUACUAAAGGUUCGUUUGUUCAACGAUUAAAAUCCU
Molecule: ribosomal RNA, 501 nt
Filed under: Mantidactylus femoralis
Lineage: Eukaryota; Metazoa; Chordata; Amphibia; Anura; Mantellidae
Description: partial 16S ribosomal RNA
Rfam family: Bacterial large subunit ribosomal RNA
Source: RNAcentral